CGCGGCCUAUCAGCUUGUUGGUGGGGUAGUGGCUUACCAAGGCUUUGACGGGUAGCCGGCCUGAGAGGGUGACCGGCCACAUUGGGACUGAGAUACGGCCCAGACUCCUACGGGAGGCAGCAGUGGGGAAUAUUGCACAAUGGGCGGAAGCCUGAUGCAGCAACGCCGCGUGCGGGAUGACGGCCUUCGGGUUGUAAACCGCUUUCGCCUGUGACGAAGCGUGAGUGACGGUAAUGGGUAAAGAAGCACCGGCUAACUACGUGCCAGCAGCCGCGGUGAUACGUAGGGUGCGAGCGUUGUCCGGAUUUAUUGGGCGUAAAGGGCUCGUAGGUGGUUGAUCGCGUCGGAAGUGUAAUCUUGGGGCUUAACCCUGAGCGUGCUUUCGAUACGGGUUGACUUGAGGAAGGUAGGGGAGAAUGGAAUUCCUGGUGGAGCGGUGGAAUGCGCAGAUAUCAGGAGGAACACCAGUGGCGAAGGCGGUUCUCUGGGCCUUUCCUGACGCUGAGGAGCGAAAGCGUGGGGAGCGAACAGGCUUAGAUACCCUGGUAGUCCACGCUGUAAACGGUGGGUACUAGGUGUGGGGUCCAUUCCACGGGUUCCGUGCCGUAGCUAACGCUUUAAGUACCCCGCCUGGGGAGUACGG
This 643-nucleotide ribosomal RNA is filed under the name uncultured bacterium. RNAcentral describes it as "bacterial SSU rRNA". It matches the Rfam family "Bacterial small subunit ribosomal RNA", at positions 232 to 885 of the family's 1533-position model. The record is from RNAcentral. RNAcentral also lists the same sequence under 1 other name.